RNAcentral lists this long non-coding RNA (2470 nucleotides) under Homo sapiens (human). Its description in RNAcentral is "non-protein coding LINC02243:5". The record is from RNAcentral. Lineage: Eukaryota; Metazoa; Chordata; Mammalia; Primates; Hominidae.
CUCUUCUGCAGCCUCCACAAGGGAAUGAAGGCUGGCAUCUAAACUCAAUCAGCAAAAUAAAUUCAAUAAGGAAGAUUUGAAGAUCAAAGACCUUCCUCUCUCUGGCUUCACAUUUCUCAUCACUAGGUCAGUGAUGUUCAAAUCAUUUUUAGGUGAUAGUUUUAUGUGUCAACUGACUGGGCCAUGGAGUCAAGAGGGUUUGGUCAAGCAUUAUUCUAGGUGUGUCUGUAAAGGUAGGUAGGUGUGUGUGUGUGUGUGUGUGUGUGUGUGUGUGUUUUAAUAUAGAGAUAGGGUCUUGCUCUUGCUCUGUUGCCUAGACUGGAGUGCUGUAGCAUGACUAUAGCUUACUGCAGCCUCAGCCUCCCAGGCGCAAGCAAUCCUCCCAUUCCAGCCUCCCAAGUAUCUAGAACGACAGGUGCAUGCCAACACCUCUGGCUAAUUUAUUUUAAUUUUUUUUUUGUAGAGACAGGGUCUUGCUCUGUUGCUCAGGCUGGUCUCGAAUUCCUGGGCUCAAGUGAUCCUCCUGCCUCAGCCUCACAUAGCCCUGGGAUUACAGGUGUGAACCACUGCACCCAGCCUGUAGGGUGUCCCUGCAUGAGAAUAAUAUCUAAAUCAGUAGGCUGAGUAAAGCAGAUUGCCCUUCCUAAUAUGAGUGGGCCUCAUCCAACAGUUGAAAGCCUGAAAGAACAAAAAAGCUGACCCUUCCCUGAGUAAGAGAGAAUUCUUCCUGCGUGAUGAUCUUCAAUCUGGGACAUUGACUUUUUUUCUGCCUUUGGCCUGAAACAUUGGCUCUCCCUGGGUCUCGAGCCUGCGGGCCUUUGGACUGGAACUAAAUUAUCAGCUCUCCUGGGCCUCCAGGUUGUCUAUUCACCCUGCAGAUCUUUCAACUUGCCAGACCCCAUAAUUAUGUGAACCAAUUCAUUAUAAAAAUAAAUCUCGAUUGCUGGCAAGAUGGCCGAACAGGAACAGCUCCGGCCUGUAGCUCCCAGCGAGAUCGACAUAGAAGGUGGGUGAUUUCUGCAUUUCCAACUGAGGUACCUGGUUCAUCUCAUUGGGACUGGUUGGACAGUGGGUGCAGCCCACGGAGGGCGAGCCGAAACAGGGUGGGGCAUUGCCUCACCCGGGGAAGUGUAAGGGGUGGGGGAAUUUUCACCCCUACCCAAGGGAAGCCAUGAGAAACUGAGCCUGAGGAACUCCAGCACAGAUACUGCGCUUGUCCCAUAGUCUUCACAACCCACACACCAGGAGAAUCCCUCCGGUGCCCACCCCACCAGGGCCUUGGGUUUCAAGCACAAAACUGGGUGGCCAUUUGGGCAGACACCCAACUAGCUGCAGGAGUUCUUUUUUUUUUUUUUUUCUUGAGAUGGAGUCUCACUCUGUCGCCCAAGCUGGAUUGCAGUGGCGCAAUCUCGGUUCACUGCAAGCUCCACCUCCCGGGUUCACGCCAUUCUCCUGCCUCAGCCUCCCGAGUAGGUGGAACUACAGGUGCCCACCACCAUGCCCGGCUAAUUUUUUGUAUUUUUAGUACAGAUGGGGUUUCACCGUGUUAGCCAGGAUGGUCUCGAUCUCCUGACCUUGCGAUCUGCCCGCCUUGGCCUCCCAAAGUGCUGGGAUUACAGGUGUAAGCCACCGCACCCGGCCUGCAGGAGCUCUUUUUUUUUCCAUACCCCAGUGGCGCCUGGAACACCAGUGAGACAGAACCAUUCACUCCCCUGGAAAAGGGGUGCAGAAGCCAGGGAGCCAAGUGGUCUGGCUGAGCGGGUCCCACCCCCAUGGAGCCCAGCAAACUAAGAUCCACUGGCUUGAAAUUCUCGCUGCCAGUACAGCAGCAGUCUGAGAGCGACCUGGGAUGCUGGAGUUUGGUGGGGGGAAGGGCGUCCGCCAUUGCUGAGGCUUGAGUAGACCGGUUUUACACUCACAGUGUAAACAAAGCCACUGGGAAGUUCGAACUGGGUGGAGCCCACUGCAGUUUAGCAAGGCUGCAGUGGUCAGACUGCCAGAUUUCUCUUCUCUGGGUGGGGCAUCUCUGAAAAAAAAGGCAGUAGCCCCAGUCAGGGACUUACAGAUAAAACUCCCAUCUUCCUGGGACAGAGCACCUAGGGAAAGGGGUGGCUGUGGGCGAAGCUUCAGCAGACUUAAAGGUCACUGCCUGACAGCUCUGAAAGAGAGCAGCAGACUUCCCAGCACAGCAUUCAAGCUCUGCUAAGGGUCAGACUGCCCCCUCAAGUGGGUCCCAAAUGGAACCAACCCAAAUGCCCAUCAAUGAUAGACUGGAUAAAGAAAAUGUGGCACAUAUACACCAUAGAAUACUAUGCAACCAUAAAAAAGGAUGAGUUCAUGUUCUUUGCAGGGACAUGGAUGAAGCUGGCAACUAUCAUUCUCAGCAAACUAUCACAAGAACAGAAAACCAAACACUGCAUGUUCUUACUCAUAAGUGGGAGUUGAACAAUGAGAACACGUGGAAACAGGG